RNAcentral lists this ribosomal RNA (603 nucleotides) under Salinibacillus xinjiangensis. Its description in RNAcentral is "bacterial SSU rRNA". It matches the Rfam family "Bacterial small subunit ribosomal RNA", at positions 1 to 428 of the family's 1533-position model. Lineage: Bacteria; Bacillati; Bacillota; Bacilli; Caryophanales; Bacillaceae. The record is from RNAcentral.
UUUUGGAGAGUUUGAUCUUGGCUCAGGACGAACGCUGGCGGCGUGCCUAAUACAUGCAAGUCGAGCGCGGGAAGCUAACUGAACCCUCCGGGGUGACGUUAGCGGAACGAGCGGCGGACGGGUGAGUAACACGUGGGCAACCUGCCUGUAAGACUGGGAUAACUCCGGGAAACCGGGGCUAAUACCGGAUAACACUUUGAACUGCAUGGUUCGAAGAUGAAAGACGGCUUUUGCUGUCACUUACAGAUGGGCCNGUGGAACGAGCGGCGGACGGGUGAGUAACACGUGGGCAACCUGCCUGUAAGACUGGGAUAACUCCGGGAAACCGGGGCUAAUACCGGAUAACACUUUGAACUGCAUGGUUCGAAGAUGAAAGACGGCUUUUGCUGUCGCUUACAGAUGGGCCCGCGGCGCAUUAGCUAGUUGGUGGGGUAAAAGCCUACCAAGGCCACGAUGCGUAGCCGACCUGAGAGGGUGAUCGGCCACACUGGGACUGAGACACGGCCCAGACUCCUACGGGAGGCAGCAGUAGGGAAUCUUCCGCAAUGGACGAAAGUCUGACGGAGCAACGCCGCGUGAGUGAUGAAGGUUUUCGGAUCGUAA